UAAUACGGAUGGAGCAUGCGUUGUCCGGAAUCACUGGGCGUAAAGGGGGUGUAGGUGGUAUUGUAAGUUACGGGUGAAAAUCACAGGCUCAACUUGUGACCUGCCUAUAAUACUGCAGUACUAGAGGACGGGAGAGGAGAGCGGAACUACCGGUGUAGCGGUGGAAUGCACAGAUAUCGGUAGAAACACCAGAGGCGAAGGCGGCUCUCUAGAACGUUCCUGACACUGAGGCCCGAAAGCUGGGGGAGCAAACAGGAUUAGAGACCCUGGUAGUCCCAGCCCUAAACGAUGAGCACUAGGCGUGGGUCCAUUAAAGGAUCCGUGUCGCAGCUAACGCAUUAAGUGCUCCGCCUGGGGAGUACGCUCGCAAGGGUG
Molecule: ribosomal RNA, 375 nt
Filed under: uncultured bacterium
Lineage: Bacteria
Description: bacterial SSU rRNA
Rfam family: Bacterial small subunit ribosomal RNA
Source: RNAcentral